AUUCAUUACACGGAGCAAUAAUGAUCCCAUGGCUGAAUUUGGUGCCCUUGUUGGUGCUCAUUCAAGGCGUCCAGUCUCAAGUACAGUUGGUGGAGUCCGGAGGGAAUGUGAGAAGCCCUGAAGGGUCUCGCCGUCUCUCCUGCCAAGCCUCUGGAUUCAACUUCGGUAGCUACUGGAUGCACUGGGUGAGACAGACUCCACAGAAAAGACUGGAAUGGGUUUCAAAUAUACAUCCAAGUUCAUCUAUCAGCUACUACACUGAGAAAGUGAAGAGACGCUUCACCAUCUCCAGGGACAAUGCCAAAAGCCAGCUGUAUCUGCAAAUGAGCAAUCUGAAACCAGAGGACACAGCGGUUUAUUACUGUGCGAGAGACACAGUGAGAGGAAGUGAAUCUGAUGCCAAGCAAAAACCUUCUCCUCCUCUGAGCAGCUUUCCAAAGUGA
Molecule: non-coding RNA, 443 nt
Organism: Pantherophis guttatus
Lineage: Eukaryota; Metazoa; Chordata; Lepidosauria; Squamata; Colubridae
Source: the annotation of a RefSeq genome assembly